RNAcentral lists this ribosomal RNA (393 nucleotides) under uncultured bacterium. RNAcentral describes it as "partial 16S ribosomal RNA". It matches the Rfam family "Bacterial small subunit ribosomal RNA", at positions 523 to 918 of the family's 1533-position model. The record is from RNAcentral.
AUACGGAGGAUCCGAGCGUUAUCCGGAUUUAUUGGGUUUAAAGGGAGCGUAGGCGGACUAUUAAGUCAGCUGUGAAAGUUUGCGGCUCAACCGUAAAAUUGCAGUUGAUACUGGCUGUCUUGAGUACAGUAGAGGUGGGCGGAAUUCGUGGGGUAGCGGUGAAAUGCUUAGAUAUCACGAAGAACUCCGAUUGCGAAGGCAGCUCACUGGACUGCAACUGACACUGAUGCUCGAAAGUGUGGGUAUCAAACAGGAUUAGAUACCCUGGUAGUCCACACAGUAAACGAUGAAUACUCGCUGUUUGCGAUAUACAGUAAGCGGCCAAGCGAAAGCAUUAAGUAUUCCACCUGGGGAGUACGCCGGCAACGGUGAAACUCAAAUGAAUUGACGGGG